ACAUAGGCCCUUCUCGGGGCCACCUUUGUCAAGCUAAGGAGGAAA
This is a non-coding RNA of Picea glauca (white spruce), 45 nucleotides long. The record is from Rfam. NCBI's taxonomy places the organism in Eukaryota, Viridiplantae, Streptophyta, Pinopsida, Pinales, Pinaceae.